This 75-nucleotide transfer RNA is filed under the name Actinomycetota bacterium. RNAcentral describes it as "tRNA-Arg". It matches the Rfam family "tRNA". From Rfam's summary of the family: Transfer RNA (tRNA) molecules are approximately 80 nucleotides in length. Their secondary structure includes four short double-helical elements and three loops (D, anti-codon, and T loops). Further hydrogen bonds mediate the characteristic L-shaped molecular structure. tRNAs have two regions of fundamental functional importance: the anti-codon, which is responsible for specific mRNA codon recognition, and the 3' end, to which the tRNAs corresponding amino acid is attached (by aminoacyl-tRNA synthetases). tRNAs cope with the degeneracy of the genetic code in two manners: having more than one tRNA (with a specific anti-codon) for a particular amino acid; and 'wobble' base-pairing, i.e. permitting non-standard base-pairing at the 3rd anti-codon position. Lineage: Bacteria; Bacillati; Actinomycetota. The record is from RNAcentral.
GCCGUCGUAGCUCAGCAGGACGGAGCAGCAGCUUCCGAAGCUGAAGGUCCCCCGGUUCGAGUCCGGGCGGCGGCA